GGCCAACAGAGGACUCACUUCCCGUCCUUUCCUCAUAUGUGAUUGGGGCUCUGUUAGGGCCUUUGGAGACCUUACCCACGGGCUCCGGGGGGUAGGGGGCGUGAGUCUGCUCGGUGUGUGGCUCUCAAGAACCUUGGCACUGCGUUAAUCCAAUUUCUGCAGUCCUGGAAGGAAGUGCUUGGUUCUCCGGGAACAGCCCUGCUGCACUGGCCUCAGCUCCACCAGACCCUGAGAACCGCUUCUGAGCGGAGAUCGAGUCAGAAGAGAAAUCAGGGGGACAUUGACAAGAGAAGGAGUUUGGAGUGUAAUUGA
RNAcentral lists this long non-coding RNA (312 nucleotides) under Mustela putorius furo (domestic ferret). Its description in RNAcentral is "lncRNA (ENSMPUG00000023961.1)". Lineage: Eukaryota; Metazoa; Chordata; Mammalia; Carnivora; Mustelidae. The record is from RNAcentral.